This 419-nucleotide long non-coding RNA is filed under the name Salmo salar (Atlantic salmon). Its description in RNAcentral is "lncRNA (ENSSSAG00000084419.1, ENSSSAG00020069033.1, ENSSSAG00075020847.1)". The record is from RNAcentral. Lineage: Eukaryota; Metazoa; Chordata; Actinopteri; Salmoniformes; Salmonidae.
GGAAGUCUUGGACUGGCGUGGUUACACGUGGUCUGCGGUUGUGAGGCCGGUUGGAUGUACUGCCAAAUUCACUAAAACAACGUUGGAGGUGGCUUAUGGAUUCCUCUAUGGACUCUCCUUGUUCAUUGUGUUCGCUGGAAGCUACGUUGAGCGCUUAAGGAGGCUCGUGUGUGCCAGGUUCCACCCGAAACGAGAACGGGAGCGGGUGCAGCUCCUCCACAGGAGGAUCCAGUCUCUAGGUAAAGCCCUGAUGAGGUCUGUAGCCAGGAAUAGGGCAGAAGGAGAGGGACCCAGAUUCCUCCAGACACUCACAACCUGGUAAAAUGAAUGUCAGUUUCACCUAAUUCUCCCAUUCUUGAAGCCAUUUCGCAUCUUUUCACCAUGUUAGUAUUUUAACUAGUGCAUUUUUUUUGCCCGUG